UGCGACCCCASGUCAGACGGGACUACCCGCUGAGUUUAAGCAUAUCA
RNAcentral lists this ribosomal RNA (47 nucleotides) under Aglaia tomentosa. RNAcentral describes it as "partial 26S ribosomal RNA". Lineage: Eukaryota; Viridiplantae; Streptophyta; Magnoliopsida; Sapindales; Meliaceae. The record is from RNAcentral.